AUAGUACUCCCUUCGUCCAAAAAUACUUGUCAGAGAAAUGGAUGUAUCUAGACAUAUUUUAGUUCUAGAUACAUCGAUUUUUGUCCAUUCCUGCAACAAGUAAUUCCGGACAAAGGGAGUAGCAU
Molecule: non-coding RNA, 125 nt
Organism: Triticum urartu
Lineage: Eukaryota; Viridiplantae; Streptophyta; Magnoliopsida; Poales; Poaceae
Source: Rfam